Molecule: non-coding RNA, 417 nt
Organism: Nannospalax galili (Upper Galilee mountains blind mole rat)
Lineage: Eukaryota; Metazoa; Chordata; Mammalia; Rodentia; Spalacidae
Source: the annotation of a RefSeq genome assembly
UGGAUACUCAGGUGUUCCCAUUCGAUGGUAAACGCUGAACACAGACUCACCAUGGACUUGGGGCUGAGCUGGGUUUUCCUUGUUGUGCUUUUCAAAGGUGUCCAGGGUGAGGUGAAGCUGGUGGAGUCCGGAGGAGAUUUGGUGAAGCCCGGAGGAUCGCUGAGACUCUCCUGUGCAGCCUCUGGAUUCACCUUCAGUGAUUACUACAUGUAUUGGUUCCGCCAGGCUCCAGAAAAGGCACCAGAGUGGGUUGCUGUUGUUAGAAAUAAAGAUAAGGGCUACACAACAGAGUACAGUGCAUCUGUGAAAGGCAGAUUCACCAUCUCAAGAGAUGACUCCAAAAGUACGGCCUAUCUGCAAAUGAACAGCCUGAGAGUUGAGGACACAGCCAGAUAUUACUGUGGAGAAACACAGUGA